This 325-nucleotide small nuclear RNA is filed under the name Sorex araneus (European shrew). RNAcentral's name for it is "7SK RNA (ENSSARG00000017548.1)". It matches the Rfam family "7SK RNA". Rfam says of the family: 7SK was discovered as an abundant small nuclear RNA in the mid-70s but a possible function has only recently been suggested. Two independent studies have found that 7SK RNA binds the CDK9/cyclin T complex (known as elongation factor P-TEFb). Lineage: Eukaryota; Metazoa; Chordata; Mammalia; Eulipotyphla; Soricidae. The record is from RNAcentral.
AGAUGUGAGUGCAAUCUGGCUACGACAUCUGUCACCCUAUUGAUCGUCAGGGUGGAUUCGUCUGUUCUGUCUUGCUAGGCAGGCAUCCCCUUCCUUCCUCACCACACCCUGUGUGUCCGUCCUGAAGUUGUGCACUUGGUCUACAAGGAUGGCCUUCCCUGAAUAGAGACCAACCAGUCUUUGGUCGAGAGUAUAAAAAUAGCUGCGCUCCCCUGCUAGAACCUCCAAACAAGCUCUCAAGCAACAUUCAUAAGAAUGGUAAUCAGGGUUUUGUGGUCGAUAAAUGGUGUUAUAACAAUUGAGAUGCAUGCUUUUGAACUUUAAU